Molecule: ribosomal RNA, 549 nt
Filed under: uncultured Glomus
Lineage: Eukaryota; Fungi; Glomeromycota; Glomeromycetes; Glomerales; Glomeraceae
Description: SSU rRNA
Rfam family: Eukaryotic small subunit ribosomal RNA
Source: RNAcentral
UUGGAGGGCAAGUCUGGUGCCAGCAGCCACGGUAAUUCCAGCUCCAAUAGCGUAUAUUAAAGUUGUUGCAGUUAAAAAGCUCGUAGUUGAAUUUCGGGGUCAGCAGGUUGGUCGUGCCUAUGGUAUGCACUGGCCUUGCUGAUUCCUCCCUCUUGAUGAGCCGUAAUGUCAUUAAUUUGGUGUUGCGGGGAAUCAGGACUGUUACUUUGAAAAAAUUAGAGUGUUUAAAGCAGGCAAGCGCUUGAAUACAUUAGCGUGGAAUAAUGAAAUAGGACGUUUGAUCCUAUUUUGUUGGUUUCUAGGAUUGACGUAAUGAUUAAUAGGGAUAGUUGGGGGCAUUAGUAUUCAAUUGUCAGAGGUGAAAUUCUUGGAUUUAUUGAAGACUAACUACUGCGAAAGCAUUUGCCAAGGAUGUUUUCAUUAAUCAAGAACGAAAGUUAGGGGAUCGAAGACGAUCAGAUACCGUCGUGGUCUUAACCAUAAACUAUGCCGACUAGGGAUCGGAUGAUGUUAAUUUUUUAAUGACUCAUUCGGCACCUUACGGGAAAC